UACGGAGGGGGCUAGCGUUGUUCGGAUUUACUGGGCGUAAAGGAUGCGUAGGCGGACAUUUAAGUCAGAUGUGAAAUACCCGAGCUUAACUUGGGUGCUGCAUUUGAAACUGGGUGUCUAGAGUGCAGGAGAGGUAAGUGGAAUUCCUAGUGUAGCGGUGAAAUGCGUAGAGAUUAGGAAGAACACCAGUGGCGAAGGCGACUUACUGGACUGUAACUGACGCUGAGGCAUGAAAGCGUGGGGAGCAAACAGG
This 253-nucleotide ribosomal RNA is filed under the name uncultured bacterium. Its description in RNAcentral is "partial 16S ribosomal RNA". It matches the Rfam family "Bacterial small subunit ribosomal RNA", at positions 524 to 776 of the family's 1533-position model. The record is from RNAcentral.